UCCCGGCCCGGCCCCUCGCUCUUCUGUUUCCUCCACCCGCGCGUUCCUGGAAUCCGAAGCCGUAGAACGUGAGGGGGGUUGGAGCUGUUAGAAGCCCUCAAGGCCACAGUCAGUGGCUUUCAGGCCACGGCUUUUAGGAGAAAAACCAAAGUGAUUUUCUGCGAAAUUGGACUCAGUAUGUUAUAAAUUCCGGUCACUUCAACCAGGAUUUUAAAGAUGUUGGAGAUACACAGUGAAACCUUUUCUAUUUAAUUAAUUGAUUCAUUUGCAAAUAAGAAAACGGAUCUUUCCAGUGAUUUGACAGGUCUUGCCCAGGAUCAAAGAGUAGGAAGCCUCUACAACAAGGAUGUCAAGCCAAGUGUUCUGGAAACAACAGCACCAGUUAGCAUUUAUCCUCCGCGCGUCAAUGAGUAAUUAACUUUACUGAAUAUUCAAAUCAGAUGUUCCAGAAAGGCAAGAAGACUGAAAACCAGGAAGGCAGAGCCUGGGGACCAGAGAGCCAUUUCCAUGAUUCCCUCCCAGACUAGAAACAGGACAGAAGUUUUCUUGUCUCCUGACUAGAUAGUCCUGCUCUCCAUAAAUUUAUGAUUUUAAUA
This is a long non-coding RNA of Myotis myotis, 596 nucleotides long. RefSeq lists it as uncharacterized. Lineage: Eukaryota; Metazoa; Chordata; Mammalia; Chiroptera; Vespertilionidae. The record is from RefSeq and is a predicted model, not a curated record. The transcript is spliced from 3 exons.